Molecule: ribosomal RNA, 459 nt
Filed under: uncultured bacterium
Lineage: Bacteria
Description: partial 16S ribosomal RNA
Rfam family: Bacterial small subunit ribosomal RNA
Source: RNAcentral
CCUACGGGAGGCAGCAGUGAGGAAUAUUGGUCAAUGGCCGCGAGUCUGAACCAGCCAAGUCGCGUGAGGGAAGACGGCCCUACGGGUUGUAAACCUCUUUUGUCCGGGAGCAAGGUGCAGUUCGCGACCCUCUGUGAGAGUACCUUACGAAAAAGCAUCGGCUAACUCCGUGCCAGCAGCCGCGGUAAUACGGAGGAUGCGAGCGUUAUCCGGAUUUAUUGGGUUUAAAGGGUGCGCAGGCGGAGGCACAAGUCAGCGGUAAAAUCGCGGGGCUCAACCCCGCUCCGCCGUUGAAACUGUGUCCCUUGAGUGCGCGAAGGGUAGGCGGAAUGCGUGGUGUAGCGGUGAAAUGCAUAGAGAUCACGCAGAACUCCGAUCGCGAAGGCAGCCUACCGGGGCGCAACUGACGCUCAUGCACGAAAGCGUGGGUAGCGAACAGGAUUAGAUACCCGAGUAGUC